ACACAUGCAAGUCGAGGGGCAGCAUGGUCUUAGCUUGCUAAGGCCGAUGGCGACCGGCGCACGGGUGAGUAACACGUAUCCAACCUGCCGUCUACUCUUGGACAGCCUUCUGAAAGGAAGAUUAAUACAAGAUGGCAUCAUGAGUCCACAUGUUCACAUGAUUAAAGGUAUUCCGGUAGACGAUGGGGAUGCGUUCCAUUAGAUAGUAGGCGGGGUAGCGGCCCACCUAGUCUUCGAUGGAUAGGGGUUCUGAGAGGAAGGUCCCCCACAUUGGAACUGAGACACGGUCCAAACUCCUACGGGAGGCAGCAGUGAGGAAUAUUGGUCAAUGGGCGAGAGCCUGAACCAGCCAAGUAGCGUGAAGGAUGACUGCCCUAUGGGUUGUAAACUUCUUUUAUAAAGGAAUAAAGUCGGGUAUGGAUACCCGUUUGCAUGUACUUUAUGAAUAAGGAUCGGCUAACUCCGUGCCAGCAGCCGCGGUAAUACGGAGGAUCCGAGCGUUAUCCGGAUUUAUUGGGUUUAAAGGGAGCGUAGAUGGAUGUUUAAGUCAGUUGUGAAAGUUUGCGGCUCAACCGUAAAAUUGCAGUUGAUACUGGAUAUCUUGAGUGCAGUUGAGGCAGGCGGAAUUCGUGGUGUAGCGGUGAAAUGCUUAGAUAUCACGAAGAACUCCGAUUGCGAAGGCAGCCUGCUAAGCUGCAACUGACAUUGAGGCUCGAAAGUGUGGGUAUCAAACAGGAUUAGAUACCCUGGUAGUCCACACGGUAAACGAUGAAUACUCGCUGUUUGCGAUAUACAGCAAGCGGCCAAGCGAAAGCGUUAAGUAUUCCACCUGGGG
RNAcentral lists this ribosomal RNA (835 nucleotides) under uncultured bacterium. RNAcentral describes it as "bacterial SSU rRNA". It matches the Rfam family "Bacterial small subunit ribosomal RNA", at positions 51 to 878 of the family's 1533-position model. The record is from RNAcentral.